This 966-nucleotide ribosomal RNA is filed under the name uncultured marine benthic group E euryarchaeote. RNAcentral's name for it is "bacterial SSU rRNA". It matches the Rfam family "Archaeal small subunit ribosomal RNA", at positions 433 to 1400 of the family's 1478-position model. The record is from RNAcentral. Lineage: Archaea; Methanobacteriati; Candidatus Hydrothermarchaeota.
GAAUAAGAGCUGGGUAAGACCGGUGCCAGCCGCCGCGGUAACACCGGCAGCUCGAGUGGUGACCGCUUUUAUUGGGCNUAAAGCGUUCGUAGCCGGUUCAGUAAGUCUUUGGGCAAAUCUUCUCGCUUAACGAAAAGAAUUCCGAAGAUACUGCUGGACUUGGGGCCGAGAGAGGUUAGAGGUACUCCUGGGGUAGGGGUGAAAUCCUAUAAUCCUGGGGGGACCGCCAGUGGCGAAGGCGUCUAACCAGAGCGGACCCGACGGUGAGGGACGAAAGCCAGGGGCGCGAACGGGAUUAGAUACCCCGGUAGUCCUGGCUGUAAACGCUGCAUGCUAGGUGUUGCAUGCUCUACGGGGGCAUGCAGUGCCGAAGAGAAGUUGAUAAGCGUGCCGCCUGGGAAGUAUUAUCGCAAGGUAGAAACUUAAAGGAAUUGGCGGGGGAGCACCACAAGGGGUGGAGUCUGCGGUUCAAUUGGAUUCAACGCCGGAAAUCUCACCGGAGGCGACGGCAGGAUGAUGGCCAGGUUGAAGAUCUUGCUUGACAAGCCGAGAGGAGGUGCAUGGCCGUCGUCAGCUCGUACCGUGAGGCGUCCUGUUAAGUCAGGCAACGAGCGAGACCCGUGCCCUUAUUUGUCAGCAGAUGCCAUUGGCAUGCUGGACACAGUAAGGGGACCGCUACUGAUAAAGUAGAGGAAGGAGCGGGCGACGGUAGGUCAGUAUGCCCCGAAUCUUCCGGGCUACACGCGGACUACAAUGGCCAGUACAAAGGGCUUCGACUUCGAGAGGAGAAGGAAAUCCCCAAAACUGGCCCUAGUUCAGAUCGUGGGCUGCAACUUGCCCACGUGAAGCCGGAAUCCCUAGUAAUCGCGUGUCAUUAUCGCGCGGUGAAUAUGUCCCUGCUCCUUGCACACACCGCCCGUCAAACCACCCGAGUGAGGUCGAGGCGAGGCUAUGUCGUUUUGGGAU